AUUGAACGCUGGCGGCAGGCCUAACACAUGCAAGUCGAGCGGAUGAAGGGUGCUUGCUCCUGGAUUCAGCGGCGGACGGGUGAGUAAUGCCUAGGAAUCUGCCUGGUAGUGGGGGAUAACGUCCAGAAACGGGCGCUAAUACCGCAUACGUCCUGAGGGAGAAAGUGGGGGAUCUUCGGACCUCACGCUAUCAGAUGAGCCUAGGUCGGAUUAGCUAGUUGGUGGGGUAAAGGCCUACCAAGGCGACGAUCCGUAACUGGUCUGAGAGGAUGAUCAGUCACACUGGAACUGAGACACGGUCCAGACUCCUACGGGAGGCAGCAGUGGGGAAUAUUGGACAAUGGGCGAAAGCCUGAUCCAGCCAUGCCGCGUGUGUGAAGAAGGUCUUCGGAUUGUAAAGCACUUUAAGUUGGGAGGAAGGGCAGUAAGUUAAUACCUUGCUGUUUUGACGUUACCAACAGAAUAAGCACCGGCUAACUUCGUG
This 484-nucleotide ribosomal RNA is filed under the name uncultured bacterium. RNAcentral describes it as "partial 16S ribosomal RNA". It matches the Rfam family "Bacterial small subunit ribosomal RNA", at positions 30 to 507 of the family's 1533-position model. The record is from RNAcentral.